Molecule: long non-coding RNA, 722 nt
Organism: Pipistrellus kuhlii (Kuhl's pipistrelle)
Lineage: Eukaryota; Metazoa; Chordata; Mammalia; Chiroptera; Vespertilionidae
Exons: 2
Source: RefSeq, a predicted model, not a curated record
GCUCCUCAGUAGGUGGCCAGAAAAGAAAAAUGGGUUUGUAUUAUUUACCUCCUUUUUCACUGAAGGGCCAGAUUCGGAGAGCUUAAGUAGCUCUCCCAAUGCCACCCAGCCAGCACUAGAAAGGAAAGGGUAAGACAUGAACCUAAAUCUCCUGAGUCUACACUCUCCAGUGCAGCACACGAAGAGACAGGGAAGAACAGCUUCCAAGCCAGAACUUCCCAGCCACAGGCCACCCUUGGUGACAUAAGCCUCUACCUUCUGAGGCUCUAGCCACUGUGGCUUAGAGAUUAUAAUAGUAACACAUAGCACUUACUAUAUACCAGGCCUAUUGUAAGCACUUUACAUAUAUUAAACUAUUCAAUUCUUACAAAAAUUCCAUAGAGUCAGUACUAUUACUAUACGCAUGAUUACAAAUGAGGCAAUCAUGCUCCGAGUGUUUAAGUAGCUUGCUCAAGGUCAAAGUGUUAAUAUGUAAUAGAACCAGAACACAGGAGGGGAAGACUGGGCUUUUCAAUAUAAUGAUGUUCUCUGAAAGUUGUUUGUUAUAAUGAGAACUAGAAAUGAGUACAAUAUGGAAUCAAUAAACUGUGAAGUCAUACAACAAAAUGUCAUGCAGCAAAUCAGACAAAUCAGCUUUAUGUAUAUGUAAUAACAUGUUUACAUCUCAAAAACUUAAUAUUGAAUCCAAAAAUCAUUUGUAGAAUAAAAUGCACAAUAAGAUA